GACGAACGCUGGCGGCGUGCUUAACACAUGCAAGUCGAACGGAAAGGCCCUGCUUUUGUGGGGUGCUCGAGUGGCGAACGGGUGAGUAACACGUGAGUAACCUGCCCUUGACUUUGGGAUAACUUCAGGAAACUGGGGCUAAUACCGGAUAGGAGCUGCUGCUGCAUGGUGGGGGUUGGAAAGUUUCGGCGGUUGGGGAUGGACUCGCGGCUUAUCAGCUUGUUGGGUGGGUAGUGGCUUACCAAGGCUUUGGUGGGUAGCCCGCCUGAGAGGGUGAACGGCCACAUUGGGCCUGAGAUACGGCCCAGACUCCUACGGGAGGCAGCAGUGGGGAAUAUUGCACAAUGGGCGGAAGCGUGAUGCAGCAACGCCGCGUGCGGGAUGACGGCCUUGGGGUUGUAAACCGCUUUAGCCUGUGACGAAGCGUGAGUGACGGUAAUGGGUAAAGAAGCACCGGCUAACUACGUG
This 468-nucleotide ribosomal RNA is filed under the name uncultured bacterium. RNAcentral's name for it is "partial 16S ribosomal RNA". It matches the Rfam family "Bacterial small subunit ribosomal RNA", at positions 28 to 507 of the family's 1533-position model. The record is from RNAcentral.